This 369-nucleotide ribosomal RNA is filed under the name Triticum aestivum (bread wheat). RNAcentral's name for it is "partial small subunit ribosomal RNA". Lineage: Eukaryota; Viridiplantae; Streptophyta; Magnoliopsida; Poales; Poaceae. The record is from RNAcentral.
AUGCCACCGUGUUUGGUCUGGGAUCUGAGCGAACCUGUCGCGCCCGACUUCGUCCUCCACUUGGUCGUAGCCAUCCACAAAAAGAGGGGAUGUCAUGACAGCCGGGUCCUCACCUGUCUCCACUCCAUAGCAUGUCAACGGCGGAGCCGCGAUAUAAAGUUGGAGCGUGCCCUUUCGUUAGUGCCGUCGUUCUCUCCUCCACGGCUGUCGUUGUCACGAGCCCAAGUAUCUUUGCUGGGUAUCGACGGCAUUGGUGGACCUAAUAGAAAAAGAAGAAAAGAGAAGAAGCAUCAAGAUAUCAUGCAAAGAUGUAUUCAAGGCUGUCUUGCAACAAUGCAUCUUCAGGGACUUGGAAGUUUCAUCUAUUAA